Molecule: ribosomal RNA, 500 nt
Filed under: uncultured Segetibacter sp.
Lineage: Bacteria; Pseudomonadati; Bacteroidota; Chitinophagia; Chitinophagales; Chitinophagaceae
Description: bacterial SSU rRNA
Rfam family: Bacterial small subunit ribosomal RNA
Source: RNAcentral
CGCAAGUCUGAACCAGCCAUGCCGCGUGAAGGAUGAAGGUCCUYUGGAUUGUAAACUUCUUUUAUCUGGGACGAAACACUCUUAUUCUUAAGAGCUUGACGGUACCAGAGGAAUAAGCACCGGCUAACUCCGUGCCAGCAGCCGCGGUAAUACGGAGGGUGCAAGCGUUAUCCGGAUUCACUGGGUUUAAAGGGUGCGUAGGUGGGAAUGUAAGUCAGUGGUGAAAUCUCCGUGCUUAACDUGGAAACUGCCAUUGAUACUAUGUUUCUUGAAUCUUCCGGAGGUCAGCGGAAUAUGUCAUGUAGCGGUGAAAUGCUUAGAUAUGACAUAGAACACCAAUUGCGAAGGCAGCUGACUACAGGAGCAUUGACACUGAGGCACGAAAGCGUGGGGAUCAAACAGGAUUAGAUACCCUGGUAGUCCACGCCCUAAACUAUGGAUACUCGACAUUUGUGAUACACAAUAAGUGUCUGAGCGAAAGCAUUAAGUAUCCCACCUGG